RNAcentral lists this transfer-messenger RNA (121 nucleotides) under Sulfurospirillum sp. Its description in RNAcentral is "partial transfer-messenger RNA". It matches the Rfam family "transfer-messenger RNA", at positions 253 to 374 of the family's 374-position model. From Rfam's summary of the family: Bacterial tmRNA, also known as 10Sa RNA or SsrA, is named for its dual tRNA and mRNA-like properties. Lineage: Bacteria; Pseudomonadati; Campylobacterota; Epsilonproteobacteria; Campylobacterales; Sulfurospirillaceae. The record is from RNAcentral.
GCCUUGCCUGCAGCGUGUGUCUGCGCGGCUUGCAAGGUGAGACUCAAAUCAGAACACUAAACAUGUAGAUCUGGCCGACGAAGGCUUGCGGACGCGGGUUCAAUUCCCGCCAGCUCCACCA